GAGAAGUGCUAUUGUGCAGGUUUAAAAAA
Molecule: non-coding RNA, 29 nt
Filed under: Homo sapiens (human)
Lineage: Eukaryota; Metazoa; Chordata; Mammalia; Primates; Hominidae
Source: RNAcentral